This 253-nucleotide ribosomal RNA is filed under the name uncultured bacterium. RNAcentral describes it as "partial 16S ribosomal RNA". It matches the Rfam family "Bacterial small subunit ribosomal RNA", at positions 524 to 776 of the family's 1533-position model. The record is from RNAcentral.
UACGGAGGUGGCAAGCGUUACUCGGAUUGAUUGGGUGUAAAGGGUGUGUAGGUGGUAAAUUAAGUCGAACGUGAAAUCCCUUGGCUUAACCAAGGAACUGCAUUCGAUACUGAUUUGCUUGAGCAACGGAGAGGAAAGCGGAAUUCCCGGUGUAACAGUGAAAUGUGUAGAUAUCGGGAGGAACACCAGUGGCGAAGGCGGCUUUCUGGACGUUUGCUGACACUGAUCCACGAUAGCUAGGGGAGCAAACAGG